Molecule: ribosomal RNA, 510 nt
Filed under: uncultured bacterium
Lineage: Bacteria
Description: partial 16S ribosomal RNA
Rfam family: Bacterial small subunit ribosomal RNA
Source: RNAcentral
GACGAACGCUGGCGGCGUGCUUAACACAUGCAAGUCGAACGAAGAGCGAUGGAAGCUUGCUUCUAUCAAUCUUAGUGGCGAACGGGUGAGUAACGCGUAAUCAACCUGCCCUUCAGAGGGGGACAACAGUUGGAAACGACUGCUAAUACCGCAUACGAUCUAAUCUCGGCAUCGAGGAUAGAUGAAAGGUGGCCUCUACAUGUAAGCUAUCACUGAAGGAGGGGAUUGCGUCUGAUUAGCUAGUUGGAGGGGUAACGGCCCACCAAGGCGAUGAUCAGUAGCCGGUCUGAGAGGAUGAACGGCCACAUUGGGACUGAGACACGGCCCAGACUCCUACGGGAGGCAGCAGUGGGGAAUCUUCCGCAAGGGACGAAAGUCUGACGGAGCAACGCCGCGUGAGUGAUGACGGCCGUCGGGUUGUAAAGCUCUGUUAAUCGGGACGAAAGGCCUUCUUGCGAAUAGUGAGAAGGAUUGACGGUACCGGAAUAGAAAGCCACGGCUAACUACGUG